RNAcentral lists this long non-coding RNA (309 nucleotides) under Gossypium raimondii (Peruvian cotton). RNAcentral describes it as "long non-coding RNA (GRAI_LNC010853)". The record is from RNAcentral. Lineage: Eukaryota; Viridiplantae; Streptophyta; Magnoliopsida; Malvales; Malvaceae.
CAGUCAAUAUCAUUCAUAAUUCUUUCUGUGGUCUCCAACCAAUACUCAACCACAGUCAGAGUGACUCUAGUGAUGCCUCUAAAUGGUUCCGCUCUGUUGGACCAGAGUCAUUCAAUUACUAACUAACGACUCUCAAAUCCAGAAUGGGGUCCAUCGACCCUCUCUAAAACCCUCAACAUAGCUUAGGACAAUGCGCUGUCCCCAACCAUUUGAGUUUGAGACCCAGUCUCAACAGUAGGUGUCCCCGGUGUUUCACUCAUAUCCAAAUUGGGUAUGCUGCCCAUUGAUGACGGUUAACUUAGGCCCUUA